CAGGGAGACAAAACUGAUUGUGAUGCCUGAAUUAUUUAUUUUUAGGUCACGAUCCUGUCACCUUAGGUCGAUCGGUAUCUCAGUUUGAAAAACUAAGAAAUUUAUUUGUUUAGUUUUUAUUGAAUUCAGUUCCUAAACUUUGUCUAGGUCACACCCAACAAGGGUACUCCUGGGCCAUUAGCUCAGGUGGUUAGAGCGCACCCCUGAUAAGGGUGAGGUCCCUGGUUCAAGUCCAGGAUGGCCCAUUCGGUGUUGGGGGUAUAGCUCAGUUGGUAGAGCGCCUGCUUUGCAAGCAGGAUGUCAGCGGUUCGAGUCCGCUUACCUCCACUGAUCGACCUCCUGAUAACGAAGCUUGAGGAGAGUUUUGUUGGAAGUGAUCUACAAUUUCUUCUAAAUGAAUGAACCUAGCUUCUUGUCGUUCCAACUAAAUAAUUUUUAGCUUGGUUGAUAAGACGCUGGGCUCCCUGCAAUAAAAAUUGCAGAGUUCUUCAGUAGAACCUUGACAACUGCAUAGGUAAGUCUGGAAAAAAAUAAAGCAUCUCAUGGAUGCAUUAUUUUGAUAGAUAGCGUAAUUUCUAAUUUAUUUAGUCUUUCGUUAUUUUUAAAGAUAAUGUUUAAUUCUUGAGCAAGAGCCGAGACUCUAUAAUUUCCUUUUAUUGAACUAUUUUCAAUGAGAGUUAGAUAUUUAAUUCUUUCCUUUUUGGUGGAAUUAAAUUGAAAGUAUUUUAUAGAGAUUAAU
This 739-nucleotide transfer RNA is filed under the name uncultured cyanobacterium. RNAcentral describes it as "partial 16S-23S ribosomal RNA intergenic spacer". The stretch from base 255 to 327 matches the Rfam family "tRNA". Lineage: Bacteria; Bacillati; Cyanobacteriota. The record is from RNAcentral.